RNAcentral lists this ribosomal RNA (424 nucleotides) under uncultured bacterium. RNAcentral's name for it is "partial 16S ribosomal RNA". It matches the Rfam family "Bacterial small subunit ribosomal RNA", at positions 360 to 776 of the family's 1533-position model. The record is from RNAcentral.
AAUAUUUGACAAUGGGGGGAACCCUGAUCCAGCCAUGCCGCGUGUGUGAAGAAGGNCUNNGGAUUNUNAAGCACUUUAAGUUGNNNNNAAGAGCAGUUAACUAAUAUUUGACUGUUUUGACGUUACCGACAGAAUAAGCACCGGCUAACUUCGUGCCAGCAGCCGCGGUAAUACGAAGGGUGCAAGCGUUAAUCGGAAUUACUGGGCGUACAGCGCGCGUAGGUGGUUCAGUAAGUUAGGAGUGAAAGCCCCGGGCUUAACCUGGGAAUUGCUUCUAAAACUGCUGAGCUAGAGUACGGUAGAGGGUGGUGGAAUUUCCUGUGUAGCGGUGAAAUGCGUAGAUAUAGGAAGGAACAUCAGUGGCGAAGGCGACCACCUGGACUGAUACUGACACUGAGGUGCGAAAGCGUGGGGAGCAAACAGG